RNAcentral lists this ribosomal RNA (274 nucleotides) under uncultured bacterium. RNAcentral's name for it is "partial 16S ribosomal RNA". It matches the Rfam family "Bacterial small subunit ribosomal RNA", at positions 523 to 796 of the family's 1533-position model. The record is from RNAcentral.
AUACGGAGGGUGCAAGCGUUACUCGGAAUCACUGGGCGUAAAGCGCGCGCAGGCGGCUAUUUAAGUUGGAUGUGAAAGCCUACGGCUCAACCGUAGAACUGCAUCCAAAACUAUUUAGCUAGAGGGUGGGAGAGGAAGAUGGAAUUAGUUGUGUAGGGGUAAAAUCCGUAGAGAUAACUAGGAAUACCAAAAGCGAAGGCAAUCUUCUGGAACACUACUGACGCUGAGGCGCGAAAGCGUGGGGAGCAAACGGGAUUAGAAACCCUAGUAGUCC